GCAGGAGUACCCAAGCGGUCAAAGGGGCCAGACUCAAGAUCUGGUGACUUAGUGUCUUCGCAGGUUCGAAUCCUGUCUCCUGCA
Molecule: transfer RNA, 84 nt
Filed under: Candidatus Iainarchaeum sp.
Lineage: Archaea; Nanobdellati; Candidatus Iainarchaeota; Candidatus Iainarchaeia; Candidatus Iainarchaeales; Candidatus Iainarchaeaceae
Description: tRNA-Leu
Rfam family: tRNA
About the family: Transfer RNA (tRNA) molecules are approximately 80 nucleotides in length. Their secondary structure includes four short double-helical elements and three loops (D, anti-codon, and T loops).
Source: RNAcentral